Molecule: long non-coding RNA, 1239 nt
Filed under: Sinocyclocheilus grahami
Lineage: Eukaryota; Metazoa; Chordata; Actinopteri; Cypriniformes; Cyprinidae
Description: lncRNA (ENSSGRG00000036320.1)
Source: RNAcentral
AGGAGCUACCCAAAUUUGAGCAAUACAUAUUUGCUGAUUAUUCAAACUUCAUCAAUGUGGAAAACGUGUAUGAGGACAUAAUCCAUCAGAUACUGGAAAAAGACGUCAGCAUGGUGGUCAAGGAGGCAGCCAGCAAGAAGAAAUUCAACCUGUUCACAGAGAGCAGGUACAAUUUCAGUGUGUCCAGCUUAUCCUUCACACCCCCAGGAUCCGCACCCAGCAGCCCAGCACGCUUAAAUACAUCCCCAAGCCUGCGCACGCCCCUGCCACCCUCUCCGCUGCUGGGCAACGGCCUGACAGCAGACAAAUCUGUGACUGUUCACUUGUCAGAAAAUAGUGCAAUGGGUCAAGCUCUGACUAUCAUGGAAAAAAUCGAUGAAGGAGAAAGGGCACUCUUAGAGGAGAGCAGUGAUGACAUAUUUUUCACUGCUGAAACAUCAACCUCGGAUACAUCAGCUGAGACUAAACCAGAACUCACCACAGACACCAUGGAAGCUUCGGUCUGUUCCACCCCUUUAGUUAAGGAAACAGAAGCUGUAGAAAGUGCUGGUACUAGUGAUUCACCAAAAGGAGUUGAUGCAACUGCUUCAGACUUUGCUUAUAAACCCACAGUAGUAAUCAACCCAAUCUGUAUGAAAACCUCUGGUUCUGAUGAUGAGCCUGCUGAAACUGAGGAUCACAGGAAAGAAACGAUAAAGACGUCAAAUGAUCAAGCCCAAAUUAAUUCACCAACAUGUGAUGAAAGCACAUAUCCGAUCGCAGUAUGUUUAUCUAUUGAAGAUGCAAAAGAUGGAGAUAUCUACAAAGAGUUCACAGGCAAACAUAUCAUGGAUCUUUCAGAAAAAGCCUCAGAAUCCCAGUCGUCACCAAACCUAGAGGAUGAAACCAGGCCCCUGGACUGUGUGAAGGAGAUCCGUGACCUUGUAGUGGAGGUUAUUGAAAUAGAGGAUGUGGUUCCGCCUUCCAAAGGAAAUGGAGAAAAAAUUCAAGUUCAAACGUUCGAGGAACAAGAUGCUGUAGUUUAAGUUUCAAUGACCAUGUCGGGUCAGGAUUCAAAACUUAUUCACCUCUCCAUUUUCUGUGUGAGGAGACAAAUUGCACAUUUUGAAGUUGGCUUCAUCAUUGUGCAGAAAGUAAUUAUAGUUUACUGUAGAUAUGUGUGUCUAUAUACAGCACCUUUCAAAAGUUUGGGAUCAGUAAGAUUUUUUAAAAAUAAAUUAAUACUUUUAUUCAGUAAGG